UAUUGCAGUGAACACCCAACUGUGCUUUAUCGUUCCCUUGGCUUUGACCCUGUGCUAGAGCAAUGCCUGUUCUUCUCCUCUGCACUGAAAGGAGUAUUUAUCCUUUCAAGUGUAUUCACAAAGCCAGUACAUUA
Molecule: small nucleolar RNA, 134 nt
Filed under: Carlito syrichta (Philippine tarsier)
Lineage: Eukaryota; Metazoa; Chordata; Mammalia; Primates; Tarsiidae
Description: Small nucleolar RNA SNORA22 (ENSTSYG00000030120.1)
Rfam family: Small nucleolar RNA SNORA22
About the family: ACA22 is a member of the H/ACA class of snoRNA that guide the sites of modification of uridines to pseudouridines.
Source: Rfam by way of RNAcentral